Long non-coding RNA from Apis laboriosa (Himalayan honeybee), 446 nucleotides. RefSeq lists it as uncharacterized. The record is from RefSeq and is a predicted model, not a curated record. The transcript is spliced from 2 exons. NCBI's taxonomy places the organism in Eukaryota, Metazoa, Arthropoda, Insecta, Hymenoptera, Apidae.
CGAUCCGGAACAUGUGAUGAUCCUCCACACAUAUAUGUAGAUCUCGCUAGUGUCUAGUUUCUUUCUCGCUAGUCUUAAAAUGACCGAAGUUAAGACGAUCCAAAUCGAGCUCAGCACAAGACACAAUGAUGGUAUAUAUAGAGGGCGACAGACGAUCGAAAAUAUUAAUUUUUGUUUUUAUACUUCGAGAAUGCACAUUUUUCUCGACUUGACCUAAAUUUCAUAAUAAUGAUUCAUCGGUUAUAAUUCGUCCUGAUUCUUCGUGUCGGCCGUGUAACGUGUCCGUAAUAUCGUUUUUUCGAGCAAACGUUCGUGGAACGAACAGAUUCGAGUAUUGACGUGGGAUGAGACAUCGAACGAAUGUACACCUUGUCGCAAAUGUUUGCAAUCGUAUCACAUAUGACGAAACACUUACAUGUGUGUAACAUGGAAGACAAAUUUGAAAA